GAGGCUAUGGUGUAAUGGCAGCACAACACCCUGUGGAGGUGUCAGUACGGGUUCAAAUCCCGUUAGUCUCCCCA
Molecule: transfer RNA, 74 nt
Filed under: bacterium
Lineage: Bacteria
Description: tRNA-His
Rfam family: tRNA
About the family: Transfer RNA (tRNA) molecules are approximately 80 nucleotides in length. Their secondary structure includes four short double-helical elements and three loops (D, anti-codon, and T loops).
Source: RNAcentral